CAAAGAGAAGCAAAGCCGCGAGGUAGAGCAAAUCUCGAAAAAACAUCNCAGUUCAGACUGCAGGCUGCAACUCGCCUGCACGAAGUCGGAAUUGCUAGUAAUCGUAGGUCAGCAUACUACGGUGAAUACGUUCCCGGGCCUUGUACACACCGCCCGUCAAACCAUGAGAGUUGGCAACACCCGAAGUCGGUAGUCUAACCGCAAGGAGGACGCCGCCGAAGGUGGGGUCGAUGAUUAGGGUUAAGUCGUAACAAGGUACC
This 260-nucleotide ribosomal RNA is filed under the name uncultured bacterium. Its description in RNAcentral is "partial 16S ribosomal RNA". It matches the Rfam family "Bacterial small subunit ribosomal RNA", at positions 1240 to 1500 of the family's 1533-position model. The record is from RNAcentral.